AGCAGCCGCGGUAAUUCCAGCUCCAAUAGCGUAUAUUAAAGUUGUUGCAGUUAAAAGCUCGUAGUUGAAUUUCGGGAUCAAUAUAUCGGUCGUGCCUUGGUACGUACUGGUAUCAUUGGUUUCUCCUUUCUGACGAACCAUGAUGUCAUUAAUUUGGUGUUAUGGGAAGUUAGGACUGUUACUUUGAAAAAUUAGAGUGUUUAAAGCAGGCUUUAGCUUGAAUACAUUAGCAUGGAAUAAUGAAAUAGGACGUUCGAACCUAUUUUGUUGGUUUCUAGGAUCAACGUAAUGAUUAAUAGGGAUAGUUGGGGGCAUUAGUAUUCAAUUGUCAGAGGUGAAAUUCUUGGAUUUAUUGAAGACUAACUACUGCGAAAGCAUUUGCCAAGGAUGUUUUCAUUAAUCAAGAACGAAAGUUAGGGAUCGAAGACGAUCAGACACCGUCGUAGUCUUAACCAUAAACUAUAGCCGACUAGGGAUCGGGAUGAUGUUAAUUUUUAAUGUACUCAUUCGGCGCCUUACG
Molecule: unclassified non-coding RNA, 520 nt
Filed under: uncultured Glomus
Lineage: Eukaryota; Fungi; Glomeromycota; Glomeromycetes; Glomerales; Glomeraceae
Description: SSU rRNA
Rfam family: Eukaryotic small subunit ribosomal RNA
Source: RNAcentral